RNAcentral lists this ribosomal RNA (505 nucleotides) under uncultured Desulfobulbus sp. Its description in RNAcentral is "bacterial SSU rRNA". It matches the Rfam family "Bacterial small subunit ribosomal RNA", at positions 903 to 1382 of the family's 1533-position model. The record is from RNAcentral. Lineage: Bacteria; Pseudomonadati; Thermodesulfobacteriota; Desulfobulbia; Desulfobulbales; Desulfobulbaceae.
UUGCCAGCCCGCUCAAGAAACUCAAAUGAAUUGACGGGGACCCGCACAAGCAGCGGAGCAUGUGGUUUAAUUCGAAGCAACGCGAAGAACCUUACCAGAUCUUGACAUCCAAUUGACCAUUCUUUUAAUCGAGAUUUUGCCUUCGGGUACAAUUGAGACAGGUGGUGCAUGGUUGUCGUCAGCUCGUGUCGUGAGAUGUUGGGUUAAGUCCCGCAACGAGCGCAACCCUUGCCUUUAGUUGCCAGCAGUUCGGCUGGGCACUCUAAAGGGACUGCCGGUGUUAAACCGGAGGAAGGUGGGGAUGACGUCAAGUCCUCAUGGCCUUUAUGACCAGGGCUACACACGUACUACAAUGGCCGAUACAAAGGGCAGCGACACUGCGAGGUGAAGCCAAUCCCGUAAAAUCGGUCUCAGUCCGGAUUGGAGUCUGCAACUCGACUCCAUGAAGUUGGAAUCGCUAGUAAUCGUGGAUCAGCAUGCCACGGUGAAUACGUUCCCGGGCCUU